AACUUUCAACAAUGGAUCUCUUGGCUCUCGCAUCGAUGAAGAACGCAGCGAAAUGCGAUACGUAAUGUGAAUUGCAGAAUUCCGUGAAUCAUUGAAUCUUUGAACGCACCUUGCGCCCCUUGGUAUUCCGAGGGGCAUGCCUGUUUGAGUGUCAUUG
RNAcentral lists this ribosomal RNA (157 nucleotides) under uncultured fungus. RNAcentral's name for it is "5.8S ribosomal RNA". It matches the Rfam family "5.8S ribosomal RNA". From Rfam's summary of the family: 5.8S ribosomal RNA (5.8S rRNA) is a component of the large subunit of the eukaryotic ribosome. The record is from RNAcentral. Lineage: Eukaryota; Fungi.